RNAcentral lists this ribosomal RNA (370 nucleotides) under Akis italica. RNAcentral's name for it is "partial 12S ribosomal RNA". The record is from RNAcentral. Lineage: Eukaryota; Metazoa; Arthropoda; Insecta; Coleoptera; Tenebrionidae.
GAUACCCUAUUAUUGUAAAUGUGAAAGUUUAAACUGGAAUUAUUACUAGCUAUGAUCUUCAAAGUUAAAUAUUUUGGCGGUAUUUUAGUCUUUUCAGAGGAACCUGUUUUUUAAUUGAUAAUCCACGAUUAAUUGUACUUUAUCUUUAAAUUUAUAUAUCGUCGUGAAAAAACAUUUUACAAGGAUUAUAAUGUUUGGGAUUUUCAAUUAUAAGUUAAUUCAGAUCAAGGUGUAGUUGAUGUUAAAGUAAAAAUGGGUUACAUUAAGUUUAUUUAUGGUUUAUUAUUUGAAAAUUGAUAAUAAAUUGGAUUUGAAAGUAAUUAUUAUAUUUUUGUAUUGUGACUAAGCUCUAAAAUAUGCACACAUCGCC